This 28-nucleotide small RNA is filed under the name Bombyx mori (domestic silkworm). RNAcentral describes it as "ovarian small RNA-33250". The record is from RNAcentral. Lineage: Eukaryota; Metazoa; Arthropoda; Insecta; Lepidoptera; Bombycidae.
UGCAAACUACAACGUUCCUAACGCUCAC